RNAcentral lists this non-coding RNA (27 nucleotides) under Mus musculus (house mouse). Lineage: Eukaryota; Metazoa; Chordata; Mammalia; Rodentia; Muridae. The record is from RNAcentral.
UAUCUUCCUGUCAGAAACCACCAGAAC